UAAAAACAAAAAAUUAAUUACACCAAAAACAGAACAAAAGAUCAAGAACAAGAUCUAAACAUAACUUCUUAACUUGCUUGUAAUCAAAAUGUUUUCUUUUCUCCAGAUUUGAAGGGUAUGGAAUGCUUUUGAUGGCUUUUCAAACUUCAUAAUAAACUCAAGGCCAUUAAUAUGAAUCUCUCAAGAAACCCAUGUACCGAAGAUGAUGAAUCUUCCAUUGUUUUCUCUUUCUUCUGAGUUCCAUUUUACCAUGUCAGCUCCAUACCCUUCUCUCUCUUUUUCUUCUCUCUAAACUUUUUUCUUCUGCUUCUUCUCCUCUUCGUCCUCCUCCUCCUUCUUCUUCUUCUUUUUUUACCCUCUUUGGGUGGUAGCAGUAGUACUGUGUUUUGCCAUGGAUGCGUGCAUCAUGAAAAAGGGAACAAAAUUGGCCCUCCUAUCUUUCUCUCUAGUCUCUUUUACACUUUUUUUCUCUCAAAUGGCAGGGAAGCGAU
This 491-nucleotide long non-coding RNA is filed under the name Panax ginseng (ginseng). RNAcentral's name for it is "long non-coding RNA (PGIN_LNC016561)". Lineage: Eukaryota; Viridiplantae; Streptophyta; Magnoliopsida; Apiales; Araliaceae. The record is from RNAcentral.